RNAcentral lists this ribosomal RNA (467 nucleotides) under Ehrlichia canis. Its description in RNAcentral is "bacterial SSU rRNA". It matches the Rfam family "Bacterial small subunit ribosomal RNA", at positions 37 to 527 of the family's 1533-position model. Lineage: Bacteria; Pseudomonadati; Pseudomonadota; Alphaproteobacteria; Rickettsiales; Anaplasmataceae. The record is from RNAcentral.
UGGCGGCAAGCCUAACACAUGCAAGUCGAACGGACAAUUAUUUAUAGCCUCUGGCUAUAGGAAAUUGUUAGUGGCAGACGGGUGAGUAAUGCGUAGGAAUCUACCUAGUAGUACGGAAUAGCCAUUAGAAAUGGUGGGUAAUACUGUAUAAUCCCCGAGGGGGAAAGAUUUAUCGCUAUUAGAUGAGCCUACGUUAGAUUAGCUAGUUGGUGAGGUAAUGGCUUACCAAGGCUAUGAUCUAUAGCUGGUCUGAGAGGACGAUCAGCCACACUGGAACUGAGAUACGGUCCAGACUCCUACGGGAGGCAGCAGUGGGGAAUAUUGGACAAUGGGCGAAAGCCUGAUCCAGCUAUGCCGCGUGAGUGAAGAAGGCCUUCGGGUUGUAAAACUCUUUCAAUAGGGAAGAUAAUGACGGUACCUAUAGAAGAAGUCCCGGCAAACUCUGUGCCAGCAGCCGCGGUAAUACG